GAUGAAGAACGUAGCGAAAUGCGAUACUUUGUGUGAAUUGCAGAAUCCCGUGAACCAUCGAGUCUUUGAACGCAAGUUGCGCCCGAAGCCAUCAGGUUGAGGGCACGUCUGCCUGGGCGUCACAUAUCGUUGCCCAAUGCCUAUUGCAGUGCAAUAGGAAUUUCUAGGGCGAAUGAUGGCUUCCCGUGAGCGUUGUUGCCUCGCGGUUGGUUGAAAAUCGAGUCCUUGGUAGGGUGUGCCAUGGUAGAUGGUGGUCGAGUUAGAACGAUACCGAUCAUGUGCAUGCUCCCCAAAAUAUGGCCUCUAUGACCCACACGCGUCUUUUGACGCUCAUGACGAGACCUCAGGUCAGGCGGGGCUACCCGCUGAAUUUAAGCAUAUCAAUAAGCGGAGGA
This 395-nucleotide unclassified non-coding RNA is filed under the name soil metagenome. Its description in RNAcentral is "partial contains 5.8S ribosomal RNA, internal transcribed spacer 2, and large subunit ribosomal RNA". The stretch from base 1 to 122 matches the Rfam family "5.8S ribosomal RNA", at positions 35 to 154 of the family's 154-position model. The record is from RNAcentral.